Molecule: transfer RNA, 84 nt
Filed under: Bacteroidales bacterium
Lineage: Bacteria; Pseudomonadati; Bacteroidota; Bacteroidia; Bacteroidales
Description: tRNA-Leu
Rfam family: tRNA
About the family: Transfer RNA (tRNA) molecules are approximately 80 nucleotides in length. Their secondary structure includes four short double-helical elements and three loops (D, anti-codon, and T loops). Further hydrogen bonds mediate the characteristic L-shaped molecular structure. tRNAs have two regions of fundamental functional importance: the anti-codon, which is responsible for specific mRNA codon recognition, and the 3' end, to which the tRNAs corresponding amino acid is attached (by aminoacyl-tRNA synthetases). tRNAs cope with the degeneracy of the genetic code in two manners: having more than one tRNA (with a specific anti-codon) for a particular amino acid; and 'wobble' base-pairing, i.e. permitting non-standard base-pairing at the 3rd anti-codon position.
Source: RNAcentral
GCCUUGGUGGUGGAAUAGGUAGACACGCCGGACUUAAAAUCCUGUGGCCGAAAGGCCGUGCGGGUUCAACUCCCGCCCAAGGUA